This 337-nucleotide unclassified non-coding RNA is filed under the name soil metagenome. RNAcentral's name for it is "partial contains 5.8S ribosomal RNA, internal transcribed spacer 2, and large subunit ribosomal RNA". The stretch from base 1 to 120 matches the Rfam family "5.8S ribosomal RNA", at positions 35 to 154 of the family's 154-position model. The record is from RNAcentral.
GAUGAAGAACGCAGUGAAAUGCGAAAAGUAGUGUGAAUUGCAGAAUUCAGUGAAUCAUCGAAUCUUUGAACGCACAUUGCGCCCCUUGGUAUUCCAUGGGGCAUGCCUGUUCGAGCGUCAUUUGUACCUUCAAGCUCUGCUUGGUGUUGGGUGUUUGUCCCGCUUUUUGCGUGGACUCGCCUCAAAGCAAUUGGCAGCCGGCGUACUAGCCUGGGAGCGCAGCACAUUUUGCGCAUCUCGACUGGAACGCUUGCGUCCAUUAAGCCUACACUUUUGCUCUUGACCUCGGAUCAGGUAGGGAUACCCGCUGAACUUAAGCAUAUCAAUAAGCGGAGGA